Molecule: ribosomal RNA, 425 nt
Filed under: uncultured bacterium
Lineage: Bacteria
Description: partial 16S ribosomal RNA
Rfam family: Bacterial small subunit ribosomal RNA
Source: RNAcentral
GUGGGGAAUAUUGCACAAUGGGGGAAACCCUGAUGCAGCAACGCCGCGUGAGUGAUGACGGCCUUCGGGUUGUAAAGCUCUGUCUUCAGGGACGAUAAUGACGGUACCUGAGGAGGAAGCCACGGCUAACUACGUGCCAGCAGCCGCGGUAAUACGUAGGUGGCAAGCGUUGUCCGGAUUUACUGGGCGUAAAGGGAGCGUAGGCGGACUUUUAAGUGAGAUGUGAAAUACCCGGGCUCAACUUGGGUGCUGCAUUUCAAACUGGAAGUCUAGAGUGCAGGAGAGGAGAAUGGAAUUCCUAGUGUAGCGGUGAAAUGCGUAGAGAUUAGGAAGAACACCAGUGGCGAAGGCGAUUCUCUGGACUGUAACUGACGCUGAGGCUCGAAAGCGUGGGGAGCAAACAGGAUUAGAUACCCUAGUAGUCC